Molecule: long non-coding RNA, 257 nt
Filed under: Mytilus galloprovincialis (Mediterranean mussel)
Lineage: Eukaryota; Metazoa; Mollusca; Bivalvia; Mytilida; Mytilidae
Source: RNAcentral
GACAAAAAUAUUGUGCAUAAGGGACGACAUCAAAAGUUCAAUGUAGGAUAAAAAACUUAAUUCACAUAGUUUUUUCGCUGACCCCCCUACCCCCCUUCUUAACUUAAUUUGGGAAAAAUUGAUUUACCUAUAUGGAUAUAUGUAAAAUCGAUUUUAGAUUAACAAAACUUGCAGCAAUGUUGACCCCCCACCCCCAAACUAUUCGAUUUAAGUUUUUUAUCCUACAUCGAUCUUUUGAUGUCGUCCCUAACUUCCAU